GAUUAUGGCUCAGGACGAACGCUGGCGGCAUGCCUAACACAUGCAAGUCGAACGGACGGAAGUAGCAAUACUGAAGUUAGUGGCGAACGGGUGAGUAACACGUGAGCAACCUGCCCUAUACACUGGGAUAGCAGUUGGAAACGACUGAUAAUACCGGAUAAGACCACGCUGUCGCAUGACAGAGGGGUCAAAGCGCUUUAGCGGUAUGGGAUGGGCUCGCGUCCAAUUAGCUAGUUGGUGAGGUAACGGCCCACCAAGGCGACGAUUGGUAGCCGACUUGAGAGAGUGAUCGGUCACACUGGAACUGAGACACGGUCCAGACUCCUACGGGAGGCAGCAGUGGGGAAUAUUGGGCAAUGGAGGAAACUCUUACCCAAGCAAUGCCGCGUGAGGGAUGGAGGUCCUAUGGAUUGUAAACCUCUUUGAUUAGGGACAAAGAAAGUGAUGGUACCUAAAGAACAAGCCCCGGCUACCUAUGUGCCAGCCGCCGC
Molecule: ribosomal RNA, 491 nt
Filed under: uncultured bacterium
Lineage: Bacteria
Description: bacterial SSU rRNA
Rfam family: Bacterial small subunit ribosomal RNA
Source: RNAcentral